CCACUACUGAGGAGUCCCACAAUGAGGCGAAACGGCCGUCCAGUAC
RNAcentral lists this non-coding RNA (46 nucleotides) under Schistosoma mattheei. Lineage: Eukaryota; Metazoa; Platyhelminthes; Trematoda; Strigeidida; Schistosomatidae. The record is from RNAcentral.